GACGAACGCUGGCGGCGUGCUUAACACAUGCAAGUCGAACGGUGAAGCGCCUUCCUUUUUGGUGGGUGUGGAUGAGUGGCGAACGGGUGAGUAACACGUGAGUAACCUGCCCCCUUCUUCUGGAUAACCGCAUGAAAGUGUGGCUAAUACGGGAUAUUCUGGGUCUGUCGCAUGAUGGGUCUGGGAAAGAUAUUGUUUCGGUGGGGGAUGGGCUCGCGGCCUAUCAGCUUGUUGGUGGGGUGAUGACCUACCAAGGCGGUGACGGGUAGCCGGCCUGAGAGGGUGGACGGUCACACUGGGACUGAGACACGGCCCAGACUCCUACGGGAGGCAGCAGUGGGGAAUAUUGCACAAUGGGCGCAAGCCUGAUGCAGCGACGCCGCGUGAGGGAUGGAGGCCUUCGGGUUGUGAACCUCUUUCGCCAGUGAAGCAGGCCUGCCUCGUUUGUGGGUGGGUUGACGGUAGCUGGAUAAGAAGCGCCGGCUAACUACGUG
RNAcentral lists this ribosomal RNA (494 nucleotides) under uncultured bacterium. RNAcentral describes it as "partial 16S ribosomal RNA". It matches the Rfam family "Bacterial small subunit ribosomal RNA", at positions 28 to 507 of the family's 1533-position model. The record is from RNAcentral.